Molecule: ribosomal RNA, 1403 nt
Filed under: uncultured bacterium
Lineage: Bacteria
Description: bacterial SSU rRNA
Rfam family: Bacterial small subunit ribosomal RNA
Source: RNAcentral
AGAGUUUGAUCCUGGCUCAGGGUGAACGCUAGCGACAGGCUUAACACAUGCAAGUCGAGGGGCAGCGGGGAGGUAGCAAUACUUCCGCCGGCGACCGGCGCACGGGUGAGUAACACGUAUGGAACCUGCCCGUAGCAGGGGGAUAAACGGAAGAAAUUCCGUCUAAUACCGCGUAAUAACUCCGAGAGGCAUCUCAUGGAGUUUAAAGGGUAACACCGGCUACGGAUGGCCAUGCGGCGCAUUAGCUAGUUGGCGGGGUAACGGCCCACCAAGGCGACGAUGCGUAGGGGUUCUGAGAGGAAGGUCCCCCACACUGGUACUGAGACACGGACCAGACUCCUACGGGAGGCAGCAGUGAGGAAUAUUGGUCAAUGGGCGCGAGCCUGAACCAGCCAAGUCGCGUGAGGGAAGACGGUCCUAUGGAUUGUAAACCUCUUUUGUCGGGGAGCAAAAGACGCCACGUGUGGCGUUCCGAGAGUACCCGAAGAAAAAGCAUCGGCUAACUCCGUGCCAGCAGCCGCGGUAAUACGGAGGAUGCGAGCGUUAUCCGGAUUUAUUGGGUUUAAAGGGUGCGCAGGCGGAAGAUCAAGUCAGCGGUAAAAUUGAGAGGCUCAACCUCUUCGAGCCGUUGAAACUGGUUUUCUUGAGUGAGCGAGAAGUAUGCGGAAUGCGUGGUGUAGCGGUGAAAUGCAUAGAUAUCACGCAGAACUCCGAUUGCGAAGGCAGCAUACCGGCGCUCAACUGACGCUCAUGCACGAAAGUGUGGGUAUCGAACAGGAUUAGAUACCCUGGUAGUCCACACAGUAAACGAUGAAUACUAAUUGUUCGGGGAGAAUGAUCCCUGAGUGAUACAGCGAAAGCGUUAAGUAUUCCACCUGGGGAGUACGCCGGCAACGGUGAAACUCAAAGGAAUUGACGGGGGCCCGCACAAGCGGAGGAACAUGUGGUUUAAUUCGAUGAUACGCGAGGAACCUUACCCGGGCUCAAACGACACAGGAAUACUUUUGAAAGGAGGUAGCUCUACGGAGUCUGUGUCGAGGUGCUGCAUGGUUGUCGUCAGCUCGUGCCGUGAGGUGUCGGCUUAAGUGCCAUAACGAGCGCAACCCCCAUCGCCAGUUACCAGCAAGUCAAGUUGGGGACUCUGGCGAGACUGCCGGCGCAAGCUGUGAGGAAGGCGGGGAUGACGUCAAAUCAGCACGGCCCUUACGUCCGGGGCGACACACGUGUUACAAUGGCAGGUACAGAGAGAAGCAAUGCGGCGACGCAAAGCGGAACUUGAAAGCCUGUCUCAGUUCGGAUUGGAGUCUGCAACUCGACUCCAUGAAGCUGGAUUCGCUAGUAAUCGCGCAUCAGCCAUGGCGCGGUGAAUACGUUCCCGGGCCUUGCACACACCGCCCGUCAAG